GCCAAAUAGAUAAUUACUUCUAUUAGUUGC
RNAcentral lists this non-coding RNA (30 nucleotides) under Rattus norvegicus (Norway rat). Lineage: Eukaryota; Metazoa; Chordata; Mammalia; Rodentia; Muridae. The record is from RNAcentral.